CCAUGGGGUCGAGCUCCGCGAGCAGCGGGGGAGCGGCGUGCGGCGGGGAGGCGGCUCUAGGAAACCACAAGUUCAUCUACAACAUCUCGCUCAAUAUCCGGUGCCUCUUCGACUUCCUCACAUCCGGUUUACCAGGCUAAACUUCGCUCCAAUGGGAAGGUUGUUGCUGUCAAAGUACAAAGACCUGGUGUUCAAGCAGCAAUUUCAUUGGACAUAUCUAUCUUGAGGUUCCUAGCUAGUCUUGCAAGGAAGGCUGCCAAGUUGAACACAGACCUCCCGGCUGUGCUUGAUGAGUGGGCAUCAAGCCUAUUCCGGGAGAUGGAAAAGAGAAGAAGCAAGAAAUGGACUUAAGUUCCGAACUGUUGGAUGUUUGGCCAAGCAAAAGGAAAUAUGAGGAUGACAGUGAUUCAUUUGAUGAGCCCUUAGGGGGAAUGAUCAAGGAACAUACUAAGGCAAUUCGCGAAUCAUUAAUUUACUAUCUUUGUACACAUGAGGAAAACAAGGUUGUACCUAUUGAGGUAAAGAACAAAGCCAAACAACAUGGUGUAAUUCUAGAGAACAAUAUUGCAGGGACCAGAAGGAGCCACACUUGAAGAUUUCAAACAGGCAUCAUCACGUUGUUAGACCACUAAGAAAUGUCAAAAAAAAGUUUGUAGGAAUAAAAUAUUUCUAUUUUUAAUGCGCGCCCAAAUUCUAUUGGUUAUUGAAUAGUUGUAAUCCUUUAUUAUAUAUAUAUGGAGACAGUAAGGUGUUGACGUUCA
Panicum virgatum (switchgrass) is the source of this 761-nucleotide long non-coding RNA. RefSeq lists it as uncharacterized. The record is from RefSeq and is a predicted model, not a curated record. The transcript has 8 exons. Lineage: Eukaryota; Viridiplantae; Streptophyta; Magnoliopsida; Poales; Poaceae.